UGGGGAUACUGGAAUGACAUAGGAGCAGAUGAAGAAAGCUGAGGAUACUAGAAUGACAUGGGAGCAGAUGAAGA
This is a non-coding RNA of Biomphalaria pfeifferi, 74 nucleotides long. The record is from the annotation of a GenBank genome assembly. NCBI's taxonomy places the organism in Eukaryota, Metazoa, Mollusca, Gastropoda, Planorbidae.